This 467-nucleotide ribosomal RNA is filed under the name uncultured bacterium. Its description in RNAcentral is "partial 16S ribosomal RNA". It matches the Rfam family "Bacterial small subunit ribosomal RNA", at positions 34 to 507 of the family's 1533-position model. The record is from RNAcentral.
UCCUCCCUCUUUCUUCGUGCUUAACACAUGCAAGUCGAACGGAAAGGCCCUGCUUUUGUGGGGUGCUCGAGUGGCGAACGGGUGAGUAACACGUGAGUAACCUGCCCUUGACUUUGGGAUAACUUCAGGAAACUGGGGCUAAUACCGGAUAGGAGCUCCUGCUGCAUGGUGGGGGUUGGAAAGUUUCGGCGGUUGGGGAUGGACUCGCGGCUUAUCAGCUUGUUGGUGGGGUAGUGGCUUACCAAGGCUUUGCCGGGUAGCCGGCCUGAGAGGGUGACCGGCAAAAUUGGGAUGAGGUACGGCCCAGGCUCCUAAGGGGAGGAACAGGUGGGGAAAAUUGACAAAGGGGCGAAAGCUUAUGGAGGAACGCCGCGUUGGGGAUGUCCGCCUUCGGGGUGGUAACCGGCUUUCCCUUUGACGGAAGGGGGAGUGCGGGGAUUGGGAAAGAAAGAACGGCUGAAUUCGGU